AACCCAUAGGGGCUUCCCCUACUCUCCCCUAAAAAAACAUUGCAGGAUGACCAGUUCCACUUUCCAAGGAGACUCUAAGGACAUCCUACCACUUAUGGCUAUUUUGUUUUGGGCUUCCUUAGGACUAUGGCAACAGGCAAGUCAAAGGAGGUAAUGCCUGCUGGGGUGAUGGAAUUGAACACAAAUCUUCCAAUAAGGCUCCGUUUAGUUCGCGAAAAAGUUUGGGUUUUGACACUUCAGCACUUUCGUUGUUAUUUGCCAAUUAAUGUCCAAUCAUGGAUUAAUUAAUGUCGUUAGAUUCAUCUCGUGAAAAUCAGUCAGACUGUAUAAUUAGUUAUUUUCUUCAUGCAUGUGUCGAAAGAUUCGAUGUGACGGGUACUGUAGGAAAAAUUUUGGGAACUAAACGGGCCUAAGGUCUUUUGUAGGUAGUAGCAUACUGCUACAGUAUAACUUGGCGCUGGUCCUUUUCAGGGUACAACUGUGGUUGAUGAUUAGUGCAAAUUGUCAGAAAGAAUACCUGGUGAAGUUCCAGAAAAAAAAGUAUUUGGCACUUGACAGAUGUUUGUAUAUGUUGUCUUUCUACUGAAUUGACAGAUCUUUCUUCGCAGAUGUUUGUCUUCGACCAAAGCAUGGCUUCCUGUCAUUCAUUCACUUCGUGACUCUUGGUGCCAGUUCUUCAAUUGUCACAUCAGAGAGGAGGAAAGUAGGAAAUGCAAUGUUCUCACGAAGCUUCGUGGCGUUUGCUGGUGCAGUAGUGAAUGCGAACUUUCAAAAAGGUGUCAACUUAGGCCAUAAUUUACAGUAAAAAUCUAAACAGGCCUAAGACACAUGCGUACAUGGGGUACCAUGUCUCUGCAGGAUACUGUUACUGGAUCUGGGAUCUCACCGAGGGAGACUAGGUGACCUGCUGUUACUUGCAAGAUUUUAAUGAUGCAACAGCUUUGGCAUUAAUAUUUCCCGUACACUACCUACCAUUUCUGGUGACCGGCAUGCCCUUUAAUUAACUAGCACCUAACAUGGCUAACAAGGGCGUGAUGAGACGUGCCAUUUCCUAAUCCCAUUUGUGAGUGACAGCAUUUCAGGUCCAUACGCGCUUGGAGUCGCCAGUUCUCCAGCAAGAAGAAGCUACAGAUGACAGUUCAAAAUGGACGAUUUCAGGAGGAAAUCGUGCUGUUUUCAUAUGAAUGAAAUUCAUGCGUUCCAAACAGUCGUCAAGCCGAAGAUAGAUGUUGCCGCCUGUCAUCUAGAGGCACGCCGCGGCAAUCUGAUCCACCAGCUUCUGUUGACGAGGCGGCCAUUGGUGAAUACUUGAUUCUGCGAGAGACAGUGGGAGGUGAUAUAAAAAGUGGAGAUUUUCUCAAGAUCCACCCCAUCUCUCGCCUAGUUUAGUCCGUGUAAGAUUCCAAGAGCGUUAGGCCCCCUCUCUCCAUGGCCUAAUCAUCGCCAUUAGUUUAAUCCCAUAGCUGAGGUGCACCCCUCGUUGGCCGCCCUCAUUCUCCUCCUUUCCUGCCAAUGGGAAGUGAAGUGGAUGAGCCCGUCACUCGUGCCUUCGUGAGGUAGAAAGGCGUUUGGUACUAUCCACUCCCUCCCCUCCUUUUUCGUCCUCCGGCACCUCUCUAAAUCCUCUGAUCUGUGGCCGUCCGUCCACAGCUGGGAUCCCGGUCAAUGGCGUGGCGAGGCGGCGGCGAUCGGUGUCGACAGCGGCGGUGCUGGGGGGCACUGCGGGAGGAGGCCGGUGAUGCGGAGGGGCCAGGGGGCGGCGACGGCGGGAUCAGGAGGAGCGGCGAGGUGAUCACCUGAAGGAUUUCCUACAGUGGUAGGCAAGUCUCAUUCUUGGCUGAUGUCCUCACACGAUGGAAGUAUCUUUUUUUUUUCCUUCUUCUGCUUUUGGGGUGUGGUUUUCUUUGAACUGUCUGACCAGGUGUCCUGUGGUGGCUCACGUCGAUUUGUUCAAAUAGAUGCUUGAGGUGUCCUGUGAUCUGUCGUGUGUCUGGAGUUGUGUUCUGCCCUGGCUGUGCUGUUUGCGAGUGGAAAUAACGCGUGUGUUGGUCUGAAGGAUGUAAACACAGAGGAUUGAAGAGUUGUGAGAGAGGGAAACAGAACGCAGAGAUUGGUCAAUAAUUCUCGCAUUUUGUAAUUCGGUUGUUAACGUGUCUGCCAUCCUGUUUGCUUCGAGAUUCCGUGUGUAA
Molecule: RNA transcript, 2189 nt
Organism: Panicum virgatum (switchgrass)
Lineage: Eukaryota; Viridiplantae; Streptophyta; Magnoliopsida; Poales; Poaceae
Exons: 3
Source: RefSeq, a predicted model, not a curated record